UGGCCUCCUCGGUGCUUAGCCUGUCAGCAGGGCAGCAGCUCCCACCUGAUCCUUAAAUCCAACCUACUCCUCCAGUGUCAAAGAUGAGUCUGUACUCUGGCUUUCCUCCCCUGAUAACCCACUGGUCCUGCUGUUCCUCUGCUGGCACUGCCUUCACGCAGCAAAUUCACCCCUCUGAAGCUUCAGGCCGUCAGCCUCCUUCCUGCUGCCAGCUUGGGACCCGAUCCAUCUUUGGUGCUACCAGUAAAACAGCAACAGUGGCAACUACAGGAGAUACUACAGGAUUUAAAAUUAAAAAAAAAAUAAUAAGAGAAUAGUGAGGUAAUGGUGACCUAAUUUCCUAAACUGUCUUUCUGCUAACCACAACUUUAAGGUUUCAGAGAGUUUGGCUCGCUAUCAGCUUGCUCUAAAAAUGCCUUCUCUGCAAACCAGAAAUAACCAUAUUACAUCGCUUUCAGAUAAUACCAUCCAAAAAAAAUGAAGAAAUGCCACAAACUUGCAUCCCCCUAAGUAAAAAGCCAAAACCUUUUUAAUUCAUGUCAAACUUUUAUAUAGAAAGGCUCCUAUUUCUUUUAAAGUAGCUGAGCUCCUCUUAGUCUGUCGCAAUAAUGCACAAAUGACCCUGUAUCAAGAUUUCUACAAUGCAGACUUAAUCUUUAGUGAAUUAUGUUAGAAAAGCCUUCAUUUUAGUACCACUUUGUAUCAGGUCAAGAAGUAAGCAGCAGCAUUACUAGCCAGAAGGCUGAAAAUCAACUGCGGGGAGAAAGCUUUGGAAGCUGCAUGCCAGAAGAAUGAUACACCAGGAAAACGUGGAGAGCAACUUGCCCAAGACCGUGCCGGCUGGACGGAGGCAGAAGAGGUCACGCUUAGCAAAGCCUCUGGAAUUCCCCGAGGACGGCACUGCAAUGACGUGAAGGAAUUUCGGGGGCUGUUGUAUACUCAGUGUUAUAAAGCAUUUCACAAGGUUCUGCACCAGACAGCAGCAGCUAAGGAGAAGAGCUUUGGAAGAAGAUCUAAAGUGGGAGCCUAUACAGUAAAUAGAGUUAAGAGCAGGAGCCAAACGGUACCAGAAGUGAAAAUACUUCAGGGUGGUAUGAAAUCAACAGUACGGCACUCCAGAGGCACAACCCCCUGCCCUUUCUCAAGGCUGACCUUACCAGGCUGACAGGACUUGACCGAACGCAUCUCCAUUUCCAGACAGAGCAGAGAGAUUCCCAAACAAGUCUGAGAAGGAGCUCACGAAGCGGAAGACGUCUAGUCACUGCGGCGCAGACCUCUGCGUGGGCCAGGGCACCUCGGUUCCCAGGCUUGUACGGCAGCGUCAGCAUUUCCCAUCCCCGCUGCAAAACUUCACCUGCGGUAUCGCAGCACGGCAUGUGCCUUCUUCCUAACAGCAUCGUAUCAGCGCCUGGCAGACGUAUCAAGUCACCAAACCUUUCUGCUCCUUUCAUUUCCAGCUCCCAGGCAGGCAGGUUACAACAGAUUCCUGUAGUCCCAGUGUCUGCAGCCCCGCACGGUCACGUUGCGGCUUAUUUUCACUGCCCAAGCGCCUCAACUCUUCCCGUGCAAUUUUCUGACUCUCCUUCAUGCCAAUAUCACCUUCUCAUUUGACUUGGAAGUCAGAUCAGUAACUCACUGUUUGUAAUGGCAAAUCAUUAAUGACUAUUUGAAAUAAAUCAGUUCUGAGACUGAA
Molecule: non-coding RNA, 1693 nt
Organism: Anas platyrhynchos (mallard)
Lineage: Eukaryota; Metazoa; Chordata; Aves; Anseriformes; Anatidae
Source: RefSeq, a predicted model, not a curated record